UCCUGGCUCAGGAUGAACGCUAGCUACAGGCUAACACAUGCAAGUCGAGGGGCAGCAUUGGAGUAGCAAUACUCAGAUGGCGACCGGCGCACGGGUGAGUAACACGUAUCCAACCUGCCGCUUACUCGGGGAUAGCCUUUCGAAAGAAAGAUUAAUACCCGAUGGUAUAAAGAGUUCGCAUGUUCUCUUUAUUAAAGAAUUUCGGUAAGCGAUGGGGAUGCGUUCCAUUAGAUUGUUGGCGGGGUAACGGCCCACCAAGUCUACGAUGGAUAGGGGUUCUGAGAGGAAGGUCCCCCACAUUGGAACUGAGACACGGUCCAAACUCCUACGGGAGGCAGCAGUGAGGAAUAUUGGUCAAUGGACGAGAGUCUGAAUCAGCCCAAGUAGCGUGAAGGAUGACUGCCCUAUGGGUUGUAAACUUCUUUUAUAAGGGAAUAAAGUGAGGGACGUGUCCCUUUUUGUAUGUACCUUAUGAAUAAGGAUCGGCUAACUCCGUGCCAGCCGCCGC
RNAcentral lists this ribosomal RNA (508 nucleotides) under uncultured bacterium. RNAcentral describes it as "bacterial SSU rRNA". It matches the Rfam family "Bacterial small subunit ribosomal RNA", at positions 17 to 518 of the family's 1533-position model. The record is from RNAcentral.